UGAGGAAUUUUGCGCAAUGGGGGAAACCCUGACGAAGCAACGCCGCGUGGGGGAUGAAGGUCUUCGGAUUGUAAACCCCUGUCGACCGGGACGAACACGCCCGACCUAAUACGUCGGAGCGUUGACUGUACCGGUGGAGGAAGCCACGGCUAACUCUGUGCCAGCAGCCGCGGUAAUACAGAGGUGGCAAGCGUUGUUCGGAAUUACUGGGCGUAAAGGGCGCGUAGGCGGCCCGAUAAGUCCCGCGUGAAAUCCCUCGGCUCAACCGAGGAACUGCGCGGGAAACUGUCGAGCUUGAGUUCGGGAGAGGGAAGCGGAAUUCCGGGUGUAGCGGUGAAAUGCGCAGAUAUCCGGAGGAACACCGGUGGCGAAGGCGGCUUCCUGGACCGACACUGACGCUGAGGCGCGAAAGCUAGGGGAGCAAACGGGAUUAGAUACCCCGGUAGUCCUAGCCCUAAACGAUGAGCGCUGGGUGUAGGGGGUAUGAACCCCCCCUGUGCCGAAGCUAACGCAUUAAGCGCUCCGCCUGGGGAGUACGGUCGCAAGGCUG
Molecule: ribosomal RNA, 550 nt
Filed under: uncultured bacterium
Lineage: Bacteria
Description: bacterial SSU rRNA
Rfam family: Bacterial small subunit ribosomal RNA
Source: RNAcentral